This 1154-nucleotide long non-coding RNA is filed under the name Taeniopygia guttata (zebra finch). RNAcentral's name for it is "lncRNA (ENSTGUG00000027566.1)". The record is from RNAcentral. Lineage: Eukaryota; Metazoa; Chordata; Aves; Passeriformes; Estrildidae.
CCCGUGGGGUGGGAAUGAAGGGAGUCCGGGUGGGAACGAGGGGAGUCCAGGUGGGAAUGAGGGGAAUCCAAGUGGGAAUGAGGGGAAUCCAAGUGGGAAUGAGGGGAGUCCGGGUGGGAAUGUGGGGAGUCCAGGUGGGAAUGAAAGGAGUCCAGGAGGGAAUGAGGGGAGUCCAGGAGGGAAUGAGGGGAGUCCAGGUGGGAAUGAGGGGGGUCCAGGUGGGAAUGAGGGGGGUCCAGGUGGGAAUGAGGGGAGUCCAGGUGGGAACGAGGGGAGCCCAGGAGGGAAUGAGGGGGGUCCAGGAGGGAAUGGGAAUGUGCGGCGGCUCCAGGAGCAGCUGGGCGAGCUGGAGGAGGCCCGGCAGAGGCUGGAGGUGUCCGAGAGCCGGAGCUCCCGGCUGGAGCUGCAGCGGCGGGUGCUGGAGGCUGAGCUGGGCCGGGCGCGGCGGGCGCUGGCCGGGCGGGAGGAGGAGGCGCGGGAGGCGCGGCAGCGAGCGGAGCGGCUCCGCACGCAGCUGGCUCAGGCCGAGUCCCGCCCGGGGCCGGUGCCGGGGGGCGGCUCCAAGGCGGAGGCUCCGGACGGGUCCCGACUCCACGAGCGGCUCCGGCAGCUCCAGGACGCGCUGGCCGCCGGUGAAACGGACCGGAGGCUGCUCCAGGUGGGACCGGAACCCCUCCCUGUGCCCCCCAGUUCCCUCUGAACCCCCUCCCAGUCCCCCCAGUUCCCUCUGAACCGCUCCCAGUCCUCCCAGUUCCCUCUGAACCCCCUCCCAGUCCCCCCAGUUCCCACUGGAACUCCUCCUUCUUCCCCCCGAACCCCCUCUGAGCUCCCCCAGCUACCCCUGAACCCAUUCCCAGCUCCCCCAGUUCCCCUGAAUCCUCUCCCAGUUCUCCCUGGACCCAUUCCCAGUUCCCCUGAGCCCCCUGCCAGGCCCUGGUGGCCCGGGGCUGUCCCGGGGCUGUCCCUGGCUGUCCCGGGGCUGUCCCUGGCUGUCCUGGGUCUGUCCCUGGCUGUCCCUGGCUGUCCUGGGUCUGUCCCUGGCUGUCCCGGGGAUGUCCCUGGAUGUCCCGAGGCUGUCCCUGGGUGUCAUGGGGCUGUCCCAGGGCUGUCCCUGGCUGUCCCGGGGCUGUCCCCAGGUGUCACGCGGAUGUCCC